Molecule: long non-coding RNA, 668 nt
Filed under: Helianthus annuus (common sunflower)
Lineage: Eukaryota; Viridiplantae; Streptophyta; Magnoliopsida; Asterales; Asteraceae
Description: hypothetical non coding rna
Source: RNAcentral
GAAAAGGGCGUGACCAGGAGGUCACCCCUGUGCGACGCAUGACAAGGAAGAAGGAGAAGGAGACUGAUUUCACAUGAGGAUCACGAAAUUGGAGGGUUGUAGUCUCGAUUAUGUCUUCUUUGCUUGAUUCUAAGGCUCUAGUGGCAUAACGUUUGGAUGGCAACAGGUCAAACGGGUGAUAAAGCAACAACAUUCCUACGGGCAAAGGGAUAUACAUGAGAUAUAAAAAAGGGGCAUCCAUAUUAGAAUGGAGAAAGUCACAAAAUGUGUGACUCGAGAUAAUGAAGUGGUGGCUCGAUAUUGUUUCGUUGGGCAUUAUGAGCAUUGAAUACUCCGUUAUGUUUGGUGAUAAGUCAUGAAAAUCAACGGGGUGACUUGAACCAGAAUCAUGAAAGAAGAAAACAUCUCACAAGUCAUUCACCAAUAAUUCGAUUCGGGUGGUAGGAAGGCGAAAGUGAUCAAGUUUUUGAAGCGGGUCAAUGAUGUGAAGAUUUAGUGAUGCCUUGUUCACUAAGUAAUAUGGGUUUUCUUAUUGGGUCAACUUGACUUAGUUAGUUGCAUUUUAGAGUUUAACUUUAAUGUUUAUUUUAGCCAAGUGCUAGUAUGUCAAUGUAGUAGUGGGUUAUAUUUGUUUUAUAAAAACCUUGGUUAAUAAGCAGGUAUUGUUU